RNAcentral lists this ribosomal RNA (544 nucleotides) under uncultured bacterium. RNAcentral describes it as "bacterial SSU rRNA". It matches the Rfam family "Bacterial small subunit ribosomal RNA", at positions 969 to 1513 of the family's 1533-position model. The record is from RNAcentral.
CCUUACCUGGUCUUGACAUCCACAGAACUUUCCAGAGAUGGAUUGGUGCCUUCGGGAACUGUGAGACAGGUGCUGCAUGGCUGUCGUCAGCUCGUGUUGUGAAAUGUUGGGUUAAGUCCCGCAACGAGCGCAACCCUUAUCCUUUGUUGCCAGCGGUCCGGCCGGGAACUCAAAGGAGACUGCCAGUGAUAAACUGGAGGAAGGUGGGGAUGACGUCAAGUCAUCAUGGCCCUUACGACCAGGGCUACACACGUCCUACAAUGGCGCAUACAAAGAGAAGCGACCUCGCGAGAGCAAGCGGACCUCAUAAAGUGCGUCGUAGUCCGGAUUGGAGUCUGCAACUCGACUCCAUGAAGUCGGAAUCGCUAGUAAUCGUGGAUCAGAAUGCCACGGUGAAUACGUUCCCGGGCCUUGUACACACCGCCCGUCACACCAUGGGAGUGGGUUGCAAAAGAAGUAGGUAGCUUAACCUUCGGGAGGGCGCUUACCACUUUGUGAUUCAUGACUGGGGUGAAGUCGUAACAAGGUAACCGUAGGGGAACCU